Molecule: ribosomal RNA, 404 nt
Filed under: uncultured bacterium
Lineage: Bacteria
Description: bacterial SSU rRNA
Rfam family: Bacterial small subunit ribosomal RNA
Source: RNAcentral
UUUUGGACAAUGGGCGAAAGCCUGAUCCAGCAAUGCCGCGUGUGGGAAGAAGGCCUCCGGGUUGUAAACCACUUUUGUACGGAACGAAAAGGUCUGCCCUAAUACGGUGGGCCCAUGACGGUACCGUAAGAAUAAGCACCGGCUAACUACGUGCCAGCAGCCGCGGUAAUACGUAGGGUGCGAGCGUUAAUCGGAAUUACUGGGCGUAAAGCGUGCGCAGGCGGUUAUAUAAGACAGUUGUGAAAUCCCCGGGCUCAACCUGGGAAUUGCAUCUGUGACUGUAUAGCUAGAGUACGGUAGAGGGGGAUGGAAUUCCGCGUGUAGCAGUGAAAUGCGUAGAUAUGCGGAGGAACACCGAUGGCGAAGGCAAUCCCCUGGACCUGUACUGACGCUCAUGCACGAAA